Neofelis nebulosa (Clouded leopard) is the source of this 1119-nucleotide long non-coding RNA. RefSeq lists it as uncharacterized. The record is from RefSeq and is a predicted model, not a curated record. NCBI's taxonomy places the organism in Eukaryota, Metazoa, Chordata, Mammalia, Carnivora, Felidae. The transcript is spliced from 2 exons.
UUUUGAGAGAGAGAGACAGCACACACAAGCAGGGGAGGGGCAGAAAGAGAGGGAGACAUAGAAUCCAAAGCAGGCUCCAGAGCGGUCAGCACAGAGCCUAACGCAGGGCUCGAACCCAGGAACACUAGAUCAUGACCUGAGCCACAGUCAGAUGCUUAACCCUCUGAGCCACCCAGGCGCCCCUCAGAUUUCCAAGAGAAACCCAUCAAAGACCUAUGUUGUAGAUACGCUGGCAUGCUUCCCGUUAAUUUCAUGUGGCUGCUGUACUCCGAGCACAGUGGUUCCUAAAGUGUGGUUCCUCCCCCAGCAGCAUCAGCCUCCCCUGGGAGGCUCCUCCUCCCCAGACUCACUGAAGCCAUGCUCCGGGGGUGGGACCCUGGUUCUGUACUUCACCAGGCCCGCUAGGGGGUUCUGAUGCACACUCAGGUGUGAGGGCUGCUGUUGUUAAGAAUUAUUGCCCCACGGCCUUUCUCUUUCCCUCGUUGCUUUCCCUUUACUUUUCAAUUGCACCUGUCCCAGAAAUGUUAAUCCUCAGGGGAGAAACUCCAGCUUGGGGAGACCAAGUCUCUCUGCUAUGUCCAAGUGCAUCUCUGGCAUUAUGGAGAUGAGAAUAGUUCCGCCAGAGCUGUUCAGAAAUGUGCAAGCAAGUCAAUUUGCGUACCACAUUUUUGUCUUCCCGGUGGGACUUCGUGUCCCAAAGGCAGAGAAUAAAGUGAUGUCUGGUUGCAAGAGCCAGAUGACAGCUGAGCCAGCUAGCAGCUAAGGGGUCUGCAGGGAAGAGCGUUGGCUUCCAGGCAGAGUGAGACGGAGAGUCCUAUGGACCAUUUGCCCCCUCACCCCUGAGUAUGAUCGUUUGAAGGAGGACAAUCAUUUUUAAAACUCUCCUCGUUUAUUGAGCGGCCACAGUAUCCUGGGCACUCCGCCAAAUGCUUUGAGUACAACACCUCGCGAGAUCACCACACCUUCCUCACGGAAGAGAAAGUACCGAAGAGGAAACAGAGGGUCACAGAGGUUGCCUGACAUUACACAGCUAGCCGGUGACCAAGCCAGGAGUAGAACACAGACCCCCGACCCUUUUCCGUAUCCCAUAUUGUGAAUAAACAUACUCCUUAGAUUUGC